RNAcentral lists this transfer RNA (73 nucleotides) under Pseudomonadota bacterium. RNAcentral describes it as "tRNA-Lys". It matches the Rfam family "tRNA". Rfam says of the family: Transfer RNA (tRNA) molecules are approximately 80 nucleotides in length. Their secondary structure includes four short double-helical elements and three loops (D, anti-codon, and T loops). Further hydrogen bonds mediate the characteristic L-shaped molecular structure. tRNAs have two regions of fundamental functional importance: the anti-codon, which is responsible for specific mRNA codon recognition, and the 3' end, to which the tRNAs corresponding amino acid is attached (by aminoacyl-tRNA synthetases). tRNAs cope with the degeneracy of the genetic code in two manners: having more than one tRNA (with a specific anti-codon) for a particular amino acid; and 'wobble' base-pairing, i.e. permitting non-standard base-pairing at the 3rd anti-codon position. Lineage: Bacteria; Pseudomonadati; Pseudomonadota. The record is from RNAcentral. RNAcentral also lists the same sequence under 1 other name.
GGGUCGUUAGCUCAGUUGGUAGAGCAGUGGCCUCUUAAGCCAACGGUCGCAGGUUCGAAUCCUGCACGACCCA